CGCGGGGUAGCGCAGCCCGGUAGCGCGGUCGGUUCAUGCCCGACAGGCCGGCGGUUCAAAUCCGCCCCCCGCAACCA
This 77-nucleotide transfer RNA is filed under the name Mesorhizobium sp. RNAcentral describes it as "tRNA-Met". It matches the Rfam family "tRNA". Rfam says of the family: Transfer RNA (tRNA) molecules are approximately 80 nucleotides in length. Their secondary structure includes four short double-helical elements and three loops (D, anti-codon, and T loops). The record is from RNAcentral. RNAcentral also lists the same sequence under 2 other names. Lineage: Bacteria; Pseudomonadati; Pseudomonadota; Alphaproteobacteria; Hyphomicrobiales; Phyllobacteriaceae.